RNAcentral lists this ribosomal RNA (476 nucleotides) under uncultured bacterium. Its description in RNAcentral is "partial 16S ribosomal RNA". It matches the Rfam family "Bacterial small subunit ribosomal RNA", at positions 28 to 507 of the family's 1533-position model. The record is from RNAcentral.
GACGAACGCUGGCGGCGUGCCUAAUACAUGCAAGUAGAACGCUGAAGAGAGGAGCUUGUGCUUCUUGGAUGAGUUGCGAACGGGUGAGUAACGCGUAGGUAACCUGCCUUGUAGCGGGGGAUAACUAUUGGAAACGAGAGCUAAUACCGCAUAACAAUGGAUGACACAUGUCAUGUAGUUGAAAGGGGCAAUUGCUGCGCUAGAGGAUGGACCUGCGUUGUAUUAGCUAGUAGGUGAGGUAAUGGCUCACCUAGGCGGCGCUGCUUAGCCGGCCUGAGAGGGUGACCGGGCACAUUGGGACUGAGAUGCGGCCCGGACUCCUACGGGAGCAAGCAGUGGAGAAUAUUGCACAAUGGGCGGAAGCCGGAUGCAGCAACGCCGGGUGGGAGAGGACGGCCUUCGGGUUGUAAACCGCUUGCGCCUGUGAAGAAGCGUGAGUGACGGUAAUGGGUAAAGAAGCACCGGCUAACUACGUG